GCCCGCAGUGCUGGUGCGCGGCGGGGCCGCAGCCACUGCCGCCUUUCCUCGGCAAGUACAUGUCCUAACUAAAAGAUGAACCUACGCGAGUCAGCGAGUCACAGAAGGCAGCGGGUUGGAAAAUCCUUCUGAGGCCAUCGCGCACCGUGACCGAACGCCGCCAUGUAAAUAGAGCCACGGCAUGGAGUGCCACGUCCAGUCUUUCCUUAAACACCUCCAGGAAUGGCGACUCCACCACCUCCCUGACCAGCCCACCACAAUAUCUAAUCUCCCUUUCUCUGAAGAAAUGUUUCCUAAUGUCCAACCUAAACCUCCCGGUACUGCUGAAGGCUGUGUCCUCCUGUCCUAUCUUUAGUUGCCUGAGAGAAGGGGCCGACACCCACCUGGCUACAGCCUCCUUUCAGGCAGUUGUAGAGGCUGCAAAUGUCAUCCCCGAGUCUCCCUUUCCUCCUGGGUAAACAACGUUGUCCCCUCAGCGGCUCCUCAUAGGAUGUGUGCUCCAGACCCUUCACCAGUUCCACUGCCCUUCUCUGGGCUCCAGAGUCACUGGACUCUGGGCAUCAAGUGAAAGAAGGAGGUGAUGUCUAAAACCAAAUGAAUUAUUUAAACCAUGGAGAUCAUCAUCUUAGGACAUUUUGGAUCUUGAAAAUUAUGUUUGUUCAAAAGCAGCUGGACUGAAUCACAAGAGAAAAAAAACCAAAACAAAAAAAAAAAAAAGUUUCAAAGGACAAAACUUCUGGCUUACAAAGUCCCUGAACCUCUAGUGGCUGGGACAGUAUUCUGGAGUAAUGACACUUCCCUGGGCACUGUCUGAGGACAACAAUCAAAGUGAGUGGGUACUGAACUGGCUGACCAGGUACAGUCAUUUUCACUAGGAUGUCUCAACAUAUUUCUGCAAUUCAGCAGAAGGCUUUUUUCCUAAGCACUGGGUUUAUGCUCACAAACUUUACAGUUUUGCCAAAUCAACAUCCACUAGUCAAAAUUCUCCUCAAAAAAAUAACCUAACCCACAGUCAGAAACUUCAAUAUUUAAGCUGCACAUUCUAGCCCUCUUGAGCUAUGCCUGUGCCAGUAAGUAGAAUAGUUUAUAUGUUUAUAUUUUGUGUUUCUUUCAGAUGUAGAUAGUUAUAUCAUCAUUUGAAAACUCUCAGAAAUUAUUUAGAGCAAUAUAGAAUUUUACCACUCUGUGGCGCCAGAUAAUUAAAAAGAGGUUGAGGUUUUAAAGGGAAGCCAUGUACUCUCAUAAACUGUAGUUUUCCUGAGUAAAAAAAGCCUUUAUUAGUAACUGAAGUAACUCCAGAUUCUUCCAUCCAAAGGUACCAAAGCACAAAUACUAGAGGUUAUUUAGACAAAAUGCCACUUUUCUGUUACUGAAAAAUAAGUCACAGCCUUGAAAAAGCAACACUUUAAGUCAUCUCAUAAUAAUAAUAAUUGACCAAAAAUGAUCUUUCUCCCUUUCUCUUCUCCACUUAAACAAUACCUUAAAAGUUUUCUGUCAAGAAAUAUACUUUUUAAUUAAUUUGACCAUCACCGAAAAUAAUCAAUUUAUUUAUAUCACAGUUUUUUAAUUGCAACUAGUGUAAAAAAAUGGGAACCUUUUUCUCUAUUUCAAGUCUCAAAUAUGUAUGUCACCCUUUAAAGAAUCCACAGAACAACAACUUACAGAAGACAUUGUAUGGUCUAAGAUUUUAGAAUCACAAGAUAUUUCCUGGCAUAUAUGUCCUACUGUAGACACACAUGCCAAUCUGAAAUACCUAAACUUAAAUGGUUUCAAUAUUUAUCUAUGUGAGAAAAGACCAGAAAAAUCUCCUUUUGUCAUGAAGGGGUAAGGUCCUGGUCCAGCAUGUCAGAAUGACGUUCUACAUACGCAGAAAAGUCUCAUAAACCCAAAAUUUUAUGUUCUAGUUGCAGAUUUGAUGACAACUGUCUCUGGAAUGAAGCUGGUGGCAUUUUUUGGAUUAGCUUUCACACACCAGAGUAGAUGUUUUGCAAUACCAGGUUCAUAAUACUUUUUAACAAAUGAGGUUAUUGUUUAACAAGACAACCAGGAACUUAGUACUUACUUUCUUGCAUUAAGUCAAUUACAGACAGUAAAAAAUUUACAACAUCUUCAGCCCAUGGGGAGGCUAAUAUUUAAAAUUCACAUUACAGAGAGAAAUAUUUCUUACUGUUCUGUCUUUGUUUCACUUCUGCAGCUAACAAAUGAUCACUCCAAAGUGCAGAUACCUUGCAGUUUGUUUCUACAAUGUACUGUGUAUGAGGGUUUUUUUGCAUUUCUCCACAUAUAUUCAGGAAUGUCUGCAGAUUUAUUACUGCUUGCAUGUACCUUCCAUCAGCAACAACA
This is a long non-coding RNA of Passer domesticus (house sparrow), 2343 nucleotides long. RefSeq lists it as uncharacterized. The record is from RefSeq and is a predicted model, not a curated record. Lineage: Eukaryota; Metazoa; Chordata; Aves; Passeriformes; Passeridae. The transcript has 2 exons.